AUGGUGGACAAGGCCGGGCUGUCCUGGUGCAAUCCAGUGUAUGUACCAAUGGACCCUUGGCUGAAGAUGAGCAAGGAGAGCACGAGCACGCCAGUGGAGAGCAAGCUCUAUAGCAACGUCCUCGGCAGUCUUCGCUAUCGGGUGCACACGAGACCACACAUUAUCUUUGUCAUCGGCUUCGUCAGCAGGUUCAUGGAGGUAUCCAUGACAGAGCACCGGGCAGUUGUCAAGCAUCUGCUCACGUGCUCCUCAUCGACAACAAAUCAGCAAUUGUACUCUACAAAAAACCCUAUCUUCCACGACAGGACCAAGCACAUUGAGACGCGGUUUCACUUCAUCUACAAGUGUGCGCAGGACGGAAGGAUCACCGUCGACUACAACCACAACGGCGAGCAGCAAGCUGACGUCAUGACCAAGACAUUGCCACGGUGA
This 432-nucleotide ribosomal RNA is filed under the name Triticum aestivum (bread wheat). RNAcentral's name for it is "partial small subunit ribosomal RNA". The record is from RNAcentral. Lineage: Eukaryota; Viridiplantae; Streptophyta; Magnoliopsida; Poales; Poaceae.